RNAcentral lists this ribosomal RNA (468 nucleotides) under uncultured bacterium. Its description in RNAcentral is "partial 16S ribosomal RNA". It matches the Rfam family "Bacterial small subunit ribosomal RNA", at positions 28 to 507 of the family's 1533-position model. The record is from RNAcentral.
GACGAACGCUGGCGGCGUGCUUAACACAUGCAAGUCGAACGGAAAGGCCCUGCUUUUGUGGGGUGCUCGAGUGGCGAACGGGUGAGUAACACGUGAGUAACCUGCCCUUGACUUUGGGAUAACUUCAGGAAACUGGGGCUAAUACCGGAUAGGAGCUCCUGCUGCAUGGUGGGGGUUGGAAAGUUUCGGCGGUUGGGGAUGGACUCGCGGCUUAUCAGCUUGUUGGUGGGGUAGUGGCUUACCAAGGCUUUGACGGGUAGCCGGCCUGAGAGGGUGACCGGCCUCAAUGGGACUGGGCUACGGCCCAGACUCCUACGGGAGGCAUCAGUGGGGAAUAUUGCACAAUGGGCGGAAGCCUGAUGGAGCAACGGCGCGUGCGGGAUGACGGCCUUCGGGUUGUAAACCGCGUUCGCCUGUGACGAAGCGUGAGUGACGGUAAUGGGUAAAGAAGCACCGGCUAACUACGUG